UACGGAGGGGGCGAGCGUUAUUCGGAAUCAUUGGGCGUAAAGGGCGCGUAGGCGGCCCCGUAAGUCUUGGGUGAAAGCCCUCGGCUCAACCGAGGAAUUGCCUUGGAUACUGCGGGGCUCGAGGCUGGAAGAGGGCAGUGGAAUUCCCGGUGUAGCGGUGAAAUGCGUUGAUAUCAGGAGGAACACCGGCGGCGAAGGCGACACUCUGGUCCGUAUCUGACGCUGAGGAGCGAAAGCUAGGGGAGCAAACGGG
RNAcentral lists this ribosomal RNA (253 nucleotides) under uncultured bacterium. RNAcentral describes it as "partial 16S ribosomal RNA". It matches the Rfam family "Bacterial small subunit ribosomal RNA", at positions 524 to 776 of the family's 1533-position model. The record is from RNAcentral.